GGAGGGUUGCCCGAGUGGUUUAAGGGGACGGUUUGCUAAACCGUUGGUGCGAAAGCGCCACACAGGUUCGAAUCCUGUACCCUCCGCCA
RNAcentral lists this transfer RNA (89 nucleotides) under bacterium. Its description in RNAcentral is "tRNA-Ser". It matches the Rfam family "tRNA". Rfam says of the family: Transfer RNA (tRNA) molecules are approximately 80 nucleotides in length. Their secondary structure includes four short double-helical elements and three loops (D, anti-codon, and T loops). The record is from RNAcentral.